This 506-nucleotide ribosomal RNA is filed under the name uncultured bacterium. RNAcentral's name for it is "partial 16S ribosomal RNA". It matches the Rfam family "Bacterial small subunit ribosomal RNA", at positions 30 to 523 of the family's 1533-position model. The record is from RNAcentral.
AUUGAACGCUGGCGGUAUGCUUAACACAUGCAAGUCGAACGGCAGCAUGGUCUAGCUUGCUGGACUGAUGGCGAGUGGCGGACGGGUGAGUAACGCGUAGGAGUAUGCCUUGAAGAGUGGGACAACUUGGGGAAACUCAAGCUAAUACCGCAUGUACUCGAGAGAGUAAAGCUGGGGACCUUUAGGCCUGGCGCUUUAAGAUUAGCCUGCGUCCGAUUAGGUAGUUGGUAGGGUAAAGGCCUACCAAGGCGACGAUCGGUAGCUGGUCUGAGAGGAUGAUCCGCCACACUGGAACUGAGGAACGGUCCAGACUCCUACGGGAGGCAGCAGUGGGGAAUAUUGGACAAUGGGGGGAACCCUGAUCCAGCAAUGCCGCGUGUGCGAAGAAGGCCUGAGGGUUGUAAAGCACUUUCAGUGGGGAGGAGGUUUGGAAGGUUAAGAGCUAUUCAAAUGGACGUUACCCACAGAAGAAGCACCGGCUAACUCCGUGCCAGCCGCCGCCGUAA